This is an RNA transcript of Anolis carolinensis (green anole), 1156 nucleotides long. It is a transcript of the gene named kunitz/BPTI-like toxin, with no coding region annotated. The record is from RefSeq and is a predicted model, not a curated record. Lineage: Eukaryota; Metazoa; Chordata; Lepidosauria; Squamata; Anolidae. The transcript is spliced from 4 exons.
GGUCUGGAGAGCUUGGUAAGUUUAGCCUGCAGAAGAGAAGGUUGCAAGGAGACAUAUCACUUCUUCAAAUAGAAUCCUCUGUCACCGAGAAUUCUUUAGUAGUGCAUAUAAAAAGAAGAAGAGGAAUUUGCAUCACAAUUUGUAGUACUUGCAUCAAUGCCCUAUUAUUGGAAUUAAUCUCUUCCUACAUUCAAUUCACAAUUCAACAACUAUUGAUCCUAUGUACUGCAUUUUGUCCUAAAUCUAAGAAGAAGGGGAAGAAAUAAGAUCUUUUAGUGAUCACUGAUUUGUAGGGCUGCCAUACAUCAAGAUAACUUUAAAGUACCUAAUGGAUGCGCACAGUCUAAAUACUUCCUUGAAUUCAUAACCAAGGGCAAGAUGUUCAGUCAGAUUAUAGAAUUCCACAAUGUCCUUGCCAAUGAACUAAUUGUUCUGGUGACCGAUGGUUUAUUUCCAUUUCCUCUUUUAACAACUUAUAAAGGGCUUAGCUCAGCACCAGAGACUCACAUUCAGCAACCAUGAUGCAGGUUGGUUGCUUUGCCUGCUCCAUCUUUACUAUAGGGAUGCUCUUCACAUUAUGGUUUGAUCUUCUGGGCAUUUCUGGACAAGCUGGGGGUGGACUGCCUCAAAAAUGUACAUUUCCCAUGGAUCCUGGAACUGGCAAGGCAAAAAUAAUUGCCUACUACUAUAAUCAAAACAGCAAGCAGUCCAUGAAAUAUCAUGUCUUCCACUAAGAAAAGAGAGUUGUCCUGUUGGUGGAAAUGGAGUACGAUAACAAAGGAAGCUUUGUCUUCUCCAUCUUUACAGUAGGAGACCUACUCAAAAUAUGGUGUGAUCCGCUGGGCAUUCCUGGACAGGCUGAUGUAGAACCAAUGGGCCCAUAAUGCAAACCACAGGCUGGACCAGAUCUCUUACAACAUAAAGGCACUUGGAAAAACACCAGUGCUUCCCAGUCUCCUAUAUCAAUCUUGGUGAAGAUCCUCGCAUGCUCUGUAAUGAACUCAGCUCUUCUACCUACAAGACACUAUUAUUUAAAUGAGAAAUUUGCCUAUGAAUAGGAAAAAUCAAAACUAUUUAGGAGACAAAGCUAAAUGAUAACUCUUUGUUUAAAAGUACUCUAAAGCAAAUAAAGCAAAGGAAGUAAUGUCUACUAAUU